This is a long non-coding RNA of Gadus morhua (Atlantic cod), 540 nucleotides long. RefSeq lists it as uncharacterized. The transcript is spliced from 3 exons. The record is from RefSeq and is a predicted model, not a curated record. NCBI's taxonomy places the organism in Eukaryota, Metazoa, Chordata, Actinopteri, Gadiformes, Gadidae.
CUGUCCUUUGUGGCUCCAGCCUUCAUGAGGAGAGAGAAGUCCAGCCAGGUGAGAGUCUGCUCACCUGAAGAGACAGACUCUUGAGGAGGAGCAGCUCUGGACCUCCGGAUUGACCGUUCUCUCCCGCAACUAAGAGGGAGCAACUCCUCCAGUGCAUCGCCGAGAACAGCGCCGGCUCCACGCAGGCCAGCGCCCGCCUCACAGUGCUUUGGGCCGACGGGCUCCCCGGGGCCCCCACACAGGUGCGGGCCCAGGCGUUGUCGCCCGGCGCCAUCCAGGUGUCCUGAUGUCCAGGACAUCAUCGGCUACGUGCUGCACAUCCGGCGGUCCUCAGGUGUUGUCGUCCCUCCUCCAAGCUUGGGGGGAGAUGGGCCUCCCCGGGUCCCCAAGCUUGACGGACAUCCGUUCAGCCGUGGCCACAUACGUGAGUAUCAAAAACACGUGAUAAGGAAUUGGUCAAUUUGGUGCAUUUUGCUUCCGUUACGCACAUUCGAUGCAAACACAUUCUUGUUUGUAAUUGCCCCUCUUUUUCUUUGUUUG